RNAcentral lists this ribosomal RNA (451 nucleotides) under uncultured bacterium. RNAcentral's name for it is "bacterial SSU rRNA". It matches the Rfam family "Bacterial small subunit ribosomal RNA", at positions 354 to 796 of the family's 1533-position model. The record is from RNAcentral.
GUGAGGAAUUUUGCGCAAUGGGGGCAACCCUGACGCAGCAACGCCGCGUGAGUGAAGAAGGCCCUUGGGUCGUAAAACUCUGUCAAUGGGGAAGAAAUUACCUUGUAUUAAUAGUAUAUGGUAUUGACGGUACCCAUGAAGGAAGCACCGGCUAACUCCGUGCCAGCAGCCGCGGUAAUACGGGGGGUGCAAGCGUUAUUCGGAAUUAUUGGGCGUAAAGGGCACGCAGGCGGUCUUGCCAGUCAGAUGUGAAAGCCCGGGGCUCAACCCUGGAAGUGCAUUUGAAACUACAAGACUUGAGUACGGUAGAGGAAAGGGGAAUUCCUGGUGUAGAGGUGAAAUUCGUAGAUAUCAGGAGGAACACCGGUGGCGAAGGCGCCUUUCUGGACCGAAACUGACGCUGAGGUGCGAAGGCGUGGGUAGCGAACAGGAUUAGAUACCCGAGUAGUCC